Molecule: ribosomal RNA, 301 nt
Filed under: uncultured bacterium
Lineage: Bacteria
Description: partial 16S ribosomal RNA
Rfam family: Bacterial small subunit ribosomal RNA
Source: RNAcentral
CAGUAGCCGCGGUAAUACGUAGGGUGCAAGCGUUAAUCGGGAUUACUGGGCGUAAAGCGUGCGCAGGCGGUUUUGUAAGACAGAGGUGAAAUCCCCGGGCUCAACCUGGGAACUGCCUUUGUGACUGCAAGGCUAGAGUACGGCAGAGGGGGAUGGAAUUCCGCGUGUAGCAGUGAAAUGCGUAGAUAUGCGGAGGAACACCGAUGGCGAAGGCAAUCCCCUGGGCCUGUACUGACGCUCAUGCACGAAAGCGUGGGGAGCAAACAGGAUUAGAUACCCGUGUAGUCCCUGUCUCUUAUAC